Molecule: long non-coding RNA, 511 nt
Filed under: Ananas comosus (pineapple)
Lineage: Eukaryota; Viridiplantae; Streptophyta; Magnoliopsida; Poales; Bromeliaceae
Description: long non-coding RNA (ACOM_LNC035218)
Source: RNAcentral
ACAGAGUAAAAAUCCUGCAAUUUUGCAUAUUUUCACACAGAAUGCUGCCCUCGCAUCGCACGGAGUCCGCUUCGCGUCUAUUUGACGCCAACGCGACUCGGGCUUGUCUCGACACUCUCCAGAGCUGUCGACAAGUCCCCACUGACGGAAACCGGGGUCUCACAAAUCUUUUUGAUUUAGCUACCAAAUCUUUCAAAAUUUUGAUUUUACUAUCUAUUCUUUCAAUCUAUUUGAUUUGAGUCGGUACAUAACACUUUGACUUUAAAAUGUGAACGCAUUGAUUAUCUUUACAUAUUUAGUUAAUAUACUCCAUGCGAUUCUUACAACUAUAAAUUUGCUAAAAUAAGUAAUUAGCUUGAAUUUUAAAAUCAAAAUGUCAUUGACCAAUUCAAAUCAAAUAAAUUGAAAUAUUGGAUAGUAAAAUUAAAAUUUUAAAAAGCUUGGAUAAUCGGCCCAAAAUAAUUUAUAACUCAGAUACGUUCUAUACAUUUUUACCAAUAUAUAAUUAAUU